This 478-nucleotide ribosomal RNA is filed under the name uncultured bacterium. RNAcentral's name for it is "partial 16S ribosomal RNA". It matches the Rfam family "Bacterial small subunit ribosomal RNA", at positions 28 to 507 of the family's 1533-position model. The record is from RNAcentral.
GAUGAACGCUGGCGGCGUGCUUAACACAUGCAAGUCGAAAGAGAAGUGAAGACGGAAACCUUCGGGCGGAAGGCUUUAUUUCGAGUGGCGGACGGGUGAGUAACGCGUGGGUAACCUGCCUCAUACAGGGGGAUAACAGUUGGAAACGACUGUUAAUACCGCAUAAGACCACAGCACCGCAUGGUGCGGGGGUAAAAACUCCGGUGGUAUGAGAUGGACCCGCGUUCGAUUAGCCAGUUGGCGGGGUAACGGCCCACCAAAGCGACGAUCGAUAGCCGAUCUGAGAGGAUGACCGGCCACAUUGGGACUGAGACACGGCCCAAACUCCUACGGGAAGCAGCAGUGGGGAAUAUUGCACAAUGGGGGAAACCCUGAUGCAGCGACGCCGCGUGAGUGAAGAAGUAUUUCGGUAUGUAAAGCUCUAUCAGCAGGGAAGAAAAUGACGGUACCUGAGUAAGAAGCCCCGGCUAACUACGUG